RNAcentral lists this transfer RNA (73 nucleotides) under Danionella translucida. It matches the Rfam family "tRNA". From Rfam's summary of the family: Transfer RNA (tRNA) molecules are approximately 80 nucleotides in length. Their secondary structure includes four short double-helical elements and three loops (D, anti-codon, and T loops). RNAcentral also lists the same sequence under 1 other name. The record is from Rfam by way of RNAcentral. Lineage: Eukaryota; Metazoa; Chordata; Actinopteri; Cypriniformes; Danionidae.
GUUUCCGUAGUGUAGUGGCUAUCAUGUUUGCCUGACACGCAAUAGGUCCUGAGUUCAAAACUGGUCGGAAACA